RNAcentral lists this small nuclear RNA (107 nucleotides) under Sciurus vulgaris (Eurasian red squirrel). The record is from RNAcentral. Lineage: Eukaryota; Metazoa; Chordata; Mammalia; Rodentia; Sciuridae.
GUGUUCUCUUUGGUAGCAUGUAUUCUGACAUUGGCAGGGUGCAGAGGGGAUUAGCAUGGCCCCUGCAUAAGGGUGGUAUGAAAAUUUACACAGCAUGCCACAAUGUA